Molecule: long non-coding RNA, 3104 nt
Organism: Mirounga angustirostris (Northern elephant seal)
Lineage: Eukaryota; Metazoa; Chordata; Mammalia; Carnivora; Phocidae
Exons: 3
Source: RefSeq, a predicted model, not a curated record
AGACAACAGGGACCCUUGCCUGGUGGGGCUCACGGUCUAGAGAACGAGAGAGAACAGGUCCUUUAACAAUUGCAGGGACCAUACCACUGUUUGCACCGCCAAUCGGCCGCAGUUAGGCUUCUAUUUGUCAAAUGAAAUGACCUUAGGAGUUCAGUGUUCUCUCCAUUUCACCUAGGAGGACUCCGAGACUCAAGACGUUGUGAAUUAUCCAGGAUCACACCGCUGGUAUGAUUGGCAGGGUACUGCUGGGGACUUCACUGGACUGCUAUAAAUAUAAGGUCUGCGCCAGUGUUUUUUUGGAAAUCUGAAACAUUCUGAAUUACAGAGCACCCAAGAAUUUCAGAAGAGAAGAUUAGGACACAGACAUACACAGAGGAAAGACUAUGUGCAGACACAGGGAGAAGACAGCCAUCUACAAGCCAAGGAAAGAAGCCUCAGAAGAAACCAACCCUGCUGUUCCCUUGAUCUCCUACUGUUGGCCUUCAGAUCUGUGAGAAAAUAGAUUUCUUUUGUUUAAACCACCCAGUCUGGGGUACUUUGUUAUGGCAACAUUAGCAAACUAAUUUUCUCUUUCUUGUCUCUCUCUCUCUCUCUUUCUCUCUCUCUCUCUCUCUCACACACACACACACACACACACACACACACACACACACACACACAGUGCUUGGGAGAAUCUCUCCCUGCUUGCGAGAAUCUGUUCCCAGUUCACCAAACCCUGUGUUGAAAGAUUAUACCAGGGCUCUAUUUUCACUUUUGGUAUCUAAGAAUAGCUCUCUAGACAUUUCACUUCUUUAAAAAACUCAUUUUGUGGAAAGAAUAAGUUGCAAUAAUUUUUAUUUUAUUUUGUAUCUUGGCUCAGGCAGAACCAGGAGGUGUUUGACUUUUUAUGUAUUCUUAUUACCUGUUCUUAUUAUAGCUAUGCCUAAAAGUGUUUAAAUUAUACUAAAUAUAUUCUCUGCAUUCUCUCCAAUGCCACUCAGAGUUUCACUCCAAGGGCUUUCUGGAGGGGAGCAUGGUAGAAAGAAAGGGAGCUUUGUUGGCAGAGAGGAGUGGGUUCAAACCUUCAGUCUGCUGUUCACUUGUGGGAUGUUGUUGAGGCACUAACAUCUCUGAGCCUUUGCUUCCUCCUUUGUAAUUGUAAAAUGAUGUCCCUUUUAAAGGAUGGGUGUGAGGGUUACAUGAGAAUAAAGCUGUAAUUUGCUUCCUGGCACAUAAUGGACACCAAAUAAAUGCCGUUUUCCAAUUUUUCUCUUCCUUUUCCCAACCAUAGUUAGCCAAAAAACCCCAAUUCUGGACCAGAGAAAAGUCCAGUUAAUUGAAUAUAGGUUUAAAUUUGUGUAAAUUAGAAACAUUACUUACUGCCCUCCGAAAUAAAUAUCAUCAGCAGAAAUUCAAAGAAGUCCUGCUUCCAAACUCAGGAAGCACAUCACUAAGCUGUUCCAUUAACAGCUUUCUUUUUUUUUUUUUUUUUUUAAGAUUUUAUUUAUUUAUUUGUGAGAGAGAAUGACAGACAGAGAGCACGAGAGGGAGGAGGGUCAGAGGGAGAAGCAGACUCCCCGCUGAGCAGGGAGCCCGAUGCGGGACUCGAUCUGGGGACUCCAGGAUCAUGACCCGAGCUGAAGGCAGUCGCUUAACUGACUGAGCCACCCAGGCGCCCCCAUUAACAGCUUUCUGAGUAUGGUCUUUCCUGCAGGAACAGAGGCUGUUUCAAAAUUCUAUACGCAUUAUAUUUAUUCAGUACCUGGCAAGCUGGCGUCCCACCUCGUGGUCAGUGGGAGACAGCCCAUUUCAAAAAGAGAUGAGAAGACAAUUUACAUUAUCUUCUGCUGGGCAGAAGCCUGAAGGACCGUUAUUUGUUCAUCCUUUUCUCCCCAUUUGCAGCGACCCAGGUCAUGUAAAGCACAAGACGUGGACAUGGCAGGGGGUGCAGUACACAUGCACGUGCUGUGGCAGUGGUGGGAUUGAGAAGAGAAGUUCUGCUUGGGAGAGGGUCAUCAGAUUAGAGGCAUAUUGGUGAAUGGUUUUCCUAAAAUAUGAAGUAUUUCAAAUAUACAAAAAAGUUCAUAAAAAAUCAGUGCAUUUUCUGGCCAGCUCUAUUGAGUGUUAACAUUUUGUCACAUUUGCAUCCUGUUUCUUUAGGAAGCAAAACAAUACAAAUGCUGGCACAGAGCCCAGUAUAUCCUUCUAGGAUCCCUUUCUCUUGCCAGGCCCCCACCCAGAGGUAACCACCAUCUCAAAUUUGAUGUUUGUCUUUAAUGGCAUUUAAAAAUUCUACUAACAUCCCAUGUGUGAAUCCGUGUUUUUGCAUGUUUUCAAAAUAUACUGAUGUCAUACUGGAUCUAUUUUUUUUCUAUUUUAAACAAGUAAUGCGAUAACUUUCUUGUGCCAUUUUCCCUAUGGAACUUCUGCAAGAGUUUUUCUAUUACUUUCCUAGAAGUAGAUCGAAGAGCAAGUAUUUUCUUUCCAGAGAGAUUGUACCAAAUUACCUUUCAGUUUGUACCAAAUUACUCUCCACCAAAUUACCCAGUGGUGUAAGUGGUGUAAGUGGCCCCGCUUGUACAUCUACAUUGCAGAAAUUGUUAGGCUUUGAAAUAUUUUCAAAAGUGAUAGUUACGAACUAUUUCACAGUAUUUUAAUGUAUUUCCCUAAUUAGUAUUUAUAUUGAGUGUCUUUUUAUAUGUUUUUUGGCCCUGUAUUUUGCUCUCUUGUGAAUGGGCUGUUCAUAUCUUUUGCCUUUUAUAUUCCUAUUGGAUUUUUUCUUAUUGAUUCUCAGGAGUUCCUUAUUUAUUCCAGAUAUGAAUCCCUUUUUUCCAUUACAUGUUUGCAAGUAUCUUCUCCCGGCCUGUGACUUACAGAUUUUUAGGAAAAAUUUUAAGUUGAAUUAUUUAAUAGGUACAUAAAAUGCACAGAUCAUAAAUAUAGAGCCCAGUGACUUUUUACAAGGUGAAAACACUUAUGUAAUAACCACCUAGAUAAGGAAUUAGAAUAUAACUAGCUCCCAAUUCAGGACCUUUCCAAGAUCUGUCACAGUCCAGAGGUAACUACUAUGUAGACUUCUGAGUAAUUUUGUCCUGUUUUGAACUUUAAAUAAAUGAAAUCUUAUA